Gallus gallus (chicken) is the source of this 735-nucleotide long non-coding RNA. RefSeq lists it as uncharacterized. The record is from RefSeq and is a predicted model, not a curated record. The transcript has 4 exons. NCBI's taxonomy places the organism in Eukaryota, Metazoa, Chordata, Aves, Galliformes, Phasianidae.
GGCAGAUGAGAAGACAACCCCUUAUCUGAAAUGGCUCACCACUGUUGUUCUACAGACUGGGUCUGAAUGCCUAUUCUGAUGUCACCCACUGUGCGUUGCUGCUGGGAGUCAAAACACUGGACCGGGCUCAGGGCUGCUCACUUGUUGGCAUGAAAGAUUGUUUUCCUUAACAAGUGUUUCAAAGUCCAGAGCUGAACUCAGGAGAUGUGGCUAUUUGGUUCAUUCUGAAGAGUGAAAUGGAUGACUGUUGCAGGCUGGCUGAGUCUGUGUGCCUCAUCACUGCCCAAUGAGAGAAGCACAGAAUUGCGGGUAGAAGCAUGUGCAAACCUCCUGCUUUCUGAGUGGGAGAGAGACCUGAAAUUUUCAUUUAUAAUUUAAAAAUGCUGUUCUGCAAAAUCAGCCUUAGGUUUUUGGUGUUAUACCUGGGAUGGUCCCUGUUAUGUGGAAAUUCUAGUGCACAAUGAAGGCAGGCAUUCCUCAAUAGAUCUUCUUCACAGGAGCAGCGACCCUUCUUAUUGUUACCAGCUCUGGACUCCCUUGGUUGGGCUCUGCAGGAAUAUUCCCAUCCAUGAAAGUGUCUGCAAGACUGCCAAAUGGAGACACAAUCUGCAAGAUGAGCUUUGGUACUGUUCCCACACUACUGUGUACUCAAAACGUAGUUUCAGUAUCAGUUCAGUUUUUACUGAUCCAGUACAUGCUAGCUGAAUGUUAAAAGAACACAACUGUAAACCUGAU